UAAAGAUAGAUCAAGAAGACGAGAAUAAUAAUAUUAACAGCCAAGAUAAGAUUAGCACCACCAAGAAGAACAAGAAGAAAAAUCAGGUGUUGCUGGAGGGAUACGUGGAGGCGGUUGAUGAGGAGGAUGAACUGAAGAGGACAAAGAGCUUGACCGGUGAUGAUCUAGACGAACUAAAGGGGUGUUUAGAUCUGGGGUUUGGCUUCAGCUACGAGGAGAUUCCUGAGCUUUGCAACACCUUGCCUGCACUUGAGCUAUGUUACUCUAUGUCUCAGAAGUACUUGGAUGACCACCAGCACCAUGCAUCUCCAGACACCACCGCUACCCCCGAACCCGUCGCCAAUUGGAAGAUCUCUAGUCCUGGUCAGUCUUUUCUCUUUUUUACCAUCUUUCUUUGUUUUAUUUUUCUAUUUGUCAUCAGAUCUUGUUGUGCUCGUUUUUACAAGGACUUUGAGUGAUGAUAAGCUUUUGUUUCUUGCUUUUCUUUCCCACUUGUUGUAGUGUUAUAUCAUACAUGACAUGCUUUUCUUUGCUAGAUGAAAUUAGGAUUGAGCCAAAAAGAAUUGAAAAACUGAUUCAAAUCGAUUCAUUCGGCUUAGUUUAGAUUCAGGAAUUGAAAGCCCACACUUGGGGUUCCUUUAUUCAAAUAAAUACUUGGUUUCUUACACAAACACAAUAAUCAAGGUUGAUUUGCAUUGAUGCUGAGAAAUCCAAGAAACUAAUAUUUUGCCAUCUGCUCAAAGUUUACAAAUCUUUUCACAGAAAAGGGGAAAAAAAAAAAGCAGGAACAUUGUGCAAUUUGUUUUUCAUAGAACAGUAGUACUCGCAAGUUGGAUGCAUCUAGCCUGUGCAAAACCAUGUAUAGAUGGUCGACUUCGCUUAGGGAACGAGUUUUAACCUUGUGUAUGCAUUACAGGUGACCAUCCAGAAGAUGUUAAAGCAAGGCUUAAAUUCUGGGCACAAGCUGUGGCCUGCACUGUCAAACUGUGCAACUAAAAGAUUCAUGAACAAUCAUUGGAAAAAUGAGAAUGAAUAUUUUUCUCAUUGAUGAGCAUCAACUGGAUAAAACCCUACGCUCUGCCGAACCAUGCCAUGGUGGGGAUGACAUUUCCAGCAAUUGUGGGAAAUAGACCAGGCCAAAAUUUUAAAAAUGGAUCAGCUGCAAGGAGCAUGGGAAGAAGCUGGAAAGGAAGAUGUUACAGGUUUGAGAUUAACCGAUGAUCCAAUGAGUCUUGACUUAAUUCUGCGGAGACUAGGAUAUAUAUGAUAUAUUAAUUGUAUCCCGUAUGGUAUGAAUAAAAUAUGUCUUCUUACUGCUACUAUGCUUCAUUGGUGUUUGAUAUAUAUAUAUAUAUAUAUAUGGCUAUGGAAUCCAACCGUCUGUUGGCUUUGCAUGCAGUGGUGAGAGUCUCCAGUUGAGCUUCACCAACUAGUUCCGGACCUCUGCGUUUGCUGAGGUAACCAAUCUAAUUGUGUUGAUUCAUCAUACCUGUG
RNAcentral lists this long non-coding RNA (1494 nucleotides) under Gossypium barbadense (sea-island cotton). RNAcentral describes it as "long non-coding RNA (GBAR_LNC001033)". Lineage: Eukaryota; Viridiplantae; Streptophyta; Magnoliopsida; Malvales; Malvaceae. The record is from RNAcentral.